This 925-nucleotide ribosomal RNA is filed under the name uncultured bacterium. RNAcentral describes it as "bacterial SSU rRNA". It matches the Rfam family "Bacterial small subunit ribosomal RNA", at positions 572 to 1501 of the family's 1533-position model. The record is from RNAcentral.
CAGGCGGUUAUACAAGACAGGCGUGAAAUCCCCGGGCUUAACCUGGGAAUGGCGCCUGUGACUGUAUAGCUAGAGUGUGUCAGAGGGGGGUAGAAUUCCACGUGUAGCAGUGAAAUGCGUAGAUAUGUGGAGGAAUACCAAUGGCGAAGGCAGCCCCCUGGGAUAACACUGACGCUCAUGCACGAAAGCGUGGGGAGCAAACAGGAUUAGAUACCCUGGUAGUCCACGCCCUAAACGAUGCUGACUAGUUGUUGGGAAUUUACAUUCUCAGUAACGUAGCUAACGCGUGAAGUCAGCCGCCUGGGGAGUACGGUCGCAAGAUUAAAACUCAAAGGAAUUGACGGGGACCCGCACAAGCGGUGGAUGAUGUGGAUUAAUUCGAUGCAACGCGAAAAACCUUACCUACCCUUGACAUGUCACUAACGAAGUAGAGAUACAUUAGGUGCCCGUAAGGGAAAGUGAACACAGGUGCUGCAUGGCUGUCGUCAGCUCGUAUCGUGAGAUGUUGGGUUAAGUCCCGCAACGAGCGCAACCCUUGUCUUUAGUUGCUACGAAAGAGCACUCUAAAGAGACUGCCGGUGACAAACCGGAGGAAGGUGGGGAUGACGUCAAGUCCUCAUGGCCCUUAUGGGUAGGGCUUCACACGUCAUACAAUGGUGCAUACAGAGGGUUGCCAACCCGCAAGGGGGAGCUAAUCUCAGAAAAUGCAUCGUAGUCCGGAUCGAAGUCUGCAACUCGACUUCGUGAAGCUGGAAUCGCUAGUAAUCGCGGAUCAGAAUGUCGCGGUGAAUACGUUCCCGGGUCUUGUACACACCGCCCGUCAUACCAUGGGAGUGGGUUUUGCCAGAGGCCGUUAGCCUAACCGCAAGGAGGGCGACUGCCACGGCAGGGUUCAUGACUGGGGUAAAGUCGUAACAAGGUAACC